This 98-nucleotide small RNA is filed under the name Pseudomonas guariconensis. Its description in RNAcentral is "t44 RNA". It matches the Rfam family "t44 RNA", at positions 12 to 95 of the family's 95-position model. From Rfam's summary of the family: This family consists of a number of bacterial RNA genes of between 135 and 170 bases in length. The t44 gene is found between the map and rpsB genes in all species in the full alignment apart from Shigella flexneri. The function of this RNA is unknown. Lineage: Bacteria; Pseudomonadati; Pseudomonadota; Gammaproteobacteria; Pseudomonadales; Pseudomonadaceae. The record is from RNAcentral.
CGGAAGCUCAAACCCACACACGUGUCGACACGAUGGCCUGGGUGCUCCGAGUCCGAUGGGCUCGUGGGUUGGUCAUUGGGAUACGUGGAGGCCCAACC